CUGCUUUCAUGCAUUUUUUAACAUCGAUAAUAAAAACUUCAAUACCAUAUUCAAUUCCAUACUUAUCGGGUUUCAUCAAAAAGAACAUUUUACUAAUAUAUUUGAAAAAGUGAGAAUCAAGGAAGUGACGGUAGACAUCAUGCAUUACAAUGUCAGUUGGCACCAGCGAAAAUGCAUAUGACAAACCAAACAUGCAAUGCAUAAUUGUAAAGAUGUAAGCUGGAGAAUAAAGAAGUAUAUUUCCAACAUAUUAAUGAUAAAAAUUUACUAGAAUAAUAAGGAGGGCAAUAAUUAGCCCUGCAAAACUGACUAACCAAAUGAGUUAAUCAUUUGUUUUAGGCCUAAGUUUUUCCCACAUGUUAUUGAGAUGGUGCAAUACGUCUGUAUACCGCUUGAAAUGUUUGUCCCCCAUUCCUAGCAACCUUUUGUCCUUCUUCAGUUGCUGUACUCAAGAGCUUUAUGACAGGAUCUGCUCCAAGGACCUCCUCUGUAAGGGCUUCAAACAAGGGGUGACUUGCCAGGCAAGAAUUCAUCCAUUCACCUAGUUCUUCCACAUCUGUAAUUGUGUAGAUAAUCCCACCAAUCUCAAGAACAUAGGCAUACUCAUCUAGCAAAUGCGGACUAAUGACCCGCCGGCGAUGAUUCUUCUCCUUGAAGUGGGGAUCUGGGAAUAGGAAAAACAUCUUUGAAAGUUGUCCUUUCCCAAAGUAAUUCGGUAUGUAUUUCAUGGAAUUGGUCCGAACCACUGAGAUAUUUUGAUAUUGACCUGGAUUGGUUGCCCUUAGUGCCGAAAUCCGUUCCUUAACAUACUCUGUCACCUUGUCCCUAAGUUCCAUACCAAUCAUUAGGGUUUCAGGAAAAAGGGUUGAAAGACUAAUAAGUAGCCCCCCAAAACCACAACCAACAUCUGCAAAUUGGAUCUUUUUGUUACUAUCCAAUUGAUCAGAUGAGACUAAUUGAGGGUAAUGAAAGGAAUAGUCAACAUGACAGGGGGAGAUUGGAACAGGGAAGUGCGAGUCACUUAGUGGGUUGCUAUGUGCCCGUGCUCUGUAGAAGCGUUUCCUAGGCAGGCCAGUUGACUUGCUGAUUGUUGGGUUUGACUCGUUUUCUAACAUAUUCUCAAUAAGAUGACAAAUCUGAAGCACCGGAAAGACGCUUUGGAGGUCGGGCGACGUCGGGGAAAAUCGACAGGAUUCACCAGAGUCAGAAACUGCCAGGAAUUUAAAUGCUAGCUUCGAUUCUCUUUUCUUUCUCCCUUCCCACAAUUUUCCGACGGAGUUUCACUUCGCCGGAGCUUCACUAGUUUGAAGGGAGAUGUAUGGGCAACGGUUAGCUUGAAACACACUGGUAAUAAGCCUUUUUUUGGCUUCGCCUGCCGUUUUCCGCAGAGAUAAAAG
This 1397-nucleotide unclassified non-coding RNA is filed under the name Hevea brasiliensis (rubber tree). Lineage: Eukaryota; Viridiplantae; Streptophyta; Magnoliopsida; Malpighiales; Euphorbiaceae. The record is from RNAcentral.